This 1529-nucleotide ribosomal RNA is filed under the name Neisseria meningitidis. Its description in RNAcentral is "bacterial SSU rRNA". It matches the Rfam family "Bacterial small subunit ribosomal RNA". Lineage: Bacteria; Pseudomonadati; Pseudomonadota; Betaproteobacteria; Neisseriales; Neisseriaceae. The record is from RNAcentral.
AGAGUUUGAUCCUGGCUCAGAUUGAACGCUGGCGGCAUGCUUUACACAUGCAAGUCGGACGGCAGCACAGAGAAGCUUGCUUCUUGGGUGGCGAGUGGCGAACGGGUGAGUAAUAUAUCGGAACGUACCGAGUAAUGGGGAUAACUAAUCGAAAGAUUAGCUAAUACCGCAUAUUCUCUGAGGAGGAAAGCAGGGGACCUUCGGGCCUUGCGUUAUUCGAGCGGCCGAUAUCUGAUUAGUUAGUUGGUGGGGUAAAGGCCUACCAAGGCGACGAUCAGUAGCGGGUCUGAGAGGAUGAUCCGCCACACUGGGACUGAGACACGGCCCAGACUCCUACGGGAGGCAGCAGUGGGGAAUUUUGGACAAUGGGCGCAAGCCUGAUCCAGCCAUGCCGCGUGUCUGAAGAAGGCCUUCGGGUUGUAAGGACUUUUGUCAGGGAAGAAAAGGCUGUUGCUAAUAUCGACAGCUGAUGACGGUACCUGAAGAAUAAGCCACCGGCUAACUACGUGCCAGCAGCCGCGGUAAUACGUAGGGUGCGAAGCGUUAAUCGGAAUUACUGGGCGUAAAGCGAGCGCAGACGGUUACUUAAGCAGGAUGUGAAAUCCCCGGGCUCAACCCGGGAACUGCGUUCUGAACUGGGUAACUAGAGUGUGUCAGAGGGAGGUAGAAUUCCACGUGUAGCAGUGAAAUGCGUAGAGAUGUGGAGGAAUACCGAUGGCGAAGGCAGCCUCCUGGGAUAACACUGACGUUCAUGCUCGAAAGCGUGGGUACAAACAGGAUUAGAUACCCUGGUAGUCCACGCCCUAAACGAUGUCAAUUAGCUGUUGGGCAACUUGAUUGCUUAGUAGCGUAGCUAACGCGUGAAAUUGACCGCCUGGGGAGUACGGUCGCAAGAUUAAAACUCAAAGGAAUUGACGGGGACCCGCACAAGCGGUGGAUGAUGUGGAUUAAUUCGAUGCAACGCGAAGAACCUUACCUGGUCUUGACAUGUACGGAAUCCUCCAGAGACGGAGGAGUGCCUUCGGGAGCCGUAACACAGGUGCUGCAUGGCUGUCGUCAGCUCGUGUCCGUGAGAUGUUGGGUUAAGUCCCGCAACGAGCGCAACCCCUUGUCAUUAGUUGCCAUCAUUUAGUUGGGCACUCUAAUGAGACUGCCGGUGACAAGCGGAGGAAGGUGGGGAUGACGUCAAGUCCUCAUGGCCCUUAUGACCAGGGCUUCACACGUCAUACAAUGGUCGGUACAGAGGGUAGCCAAGCCGCGAGGUGGAGCCAAUCUCACAAAACCGAUCGUAGUCCGGAUUGCACUCUGCAACUCGAGUGCAUGAAGUCGGAAUCGCUAGUAAUCGCAGGUCAGCAUACUGCGGUGAAUACGUUCCCGGGUCUUGUACACACCGCCCGUCACACCAUGGGAGUGGGGGAUACCAGAAGUAGGUAGGGUAACCGCAAGGAGUCCGCUUACCACGGUAUGCUUCAUGACUGGGGUGAAGUCGUAACAAGGUAGCCGUAGGGGAACCUGCGGCUGGAUCACCU